Molecule: ribosomal RNA, 245 nt
Filed under: uncultured bacterium
Lineage: Bacteria
Description: partial 16S ribosomal RNA
Rfam family: Bacterial small subunit ribosomal RNA
Source: RNAcentral
UACAGAGGGUGCGAGCGUUGUCCGGAAUCACUGGGCGUAAAGGGCGCGUAGGCGGUUCGGUUAGCGUGCGGUGAAAGCCCGGGGCUCAACCCCGGGUCGGCCGUGCGAACUGCUGGACUGGAGCUUGUCAGAGGCAGGCGGAAUUCCGGGUGUAGCGGUGGAAUGCGUAGAGAUCCGGAAGAACACCGGUGGCGAAGGCGGCCUGCUGGGACAAUGCUGACGCUGAGGCGCGACAGCGUGGGGAG